ACCACACCGCAAGCAGGCGAG
Molecule: unclassified non-coding RNA, 21 nt
Filed under: Mus musculus (house mouse)
Lineage: Eukaryota; Metazoa; Chordata; Mammalia; Rodentia; Muridae
Description: oocyte_clustered_small_RNA3953
Source: RNAcentral